Molecule: small nuclear RNA, 138 nt
Filed under: Fukomys damarensis (Damara mole-rat)
Lineage: Eukaryota; Metazoa; Chordata; Mammalia; Rodentia; Bathyergidae
Description: U2 spliceosomal RNA
Rfam family: U2 spliceosomal RNA
About the family: U2 is a small nuclear RNA (snRNA) component of the spliceosome (involved in pre-mRNA splicing). Complementary binding between U2 snRNA (in an area lying towards the 5' end but 3' to hairpin I) and the branchpoint sequence (BPS) of the intron results the bulging out of an unpaired adenosine, on the BPS, which initiates a nucleophilic attack at the intronic 5' splice site, thus starting the first of two transesterification reactions that mediate splicing.
Source: Rfam by way of RNAcentral
AUCGCUUCUCAGCCUUUUGGCUAAGAUCAAGUGUAGGAACAUCUUCUUUAAUCUUCAAAAUACUCCUGUGAGAUGAAUUCUAUUAUUUUUAUCUUCAUUUCACUCUUAGAUAAGCUAAAGCUUUUCAAAGGUGGUAAA